UACGUGGGGUGCAAGCGUUAAUCGGAAUUACUGGGCGUAAAGCGUGCGCAGGCGGUUGUGUAAGUCAGAUGUGAAAUCCCCGGGCUCAACCUGGGAAUUGCAUUUGAGACUGCACGGCUAGAGUGUGUCAGAGGGGGGGUAGAAUUCCACGUGUAGCAGUGAAAUGCGUAGAUAUGUGGAGGAAUACCGAUGGCGAAGGCAGCCCCCUGGGAUAACACUGACGCUCAUGCACGAAAGCGUGGGGAGCAAACAGGAUUAGAUACCCUGGUAGUCCACGCCCUAAACGAUGUCUACUAGUUGUCGGGUCUCAAUUGACUUGGUAACGCAGCUAACGCGUGAAGUAGACCGCCUGGGGAGUACGGUCGCAAGAUUAAAACUCAA
Molecule: ribosomal RNA, 381 nt
Filed under: uncultured bacterium
Lineage: Bacteria
Description: bacterial SSU rRNA
Rfam family: Bacterial small subunit ribosomal RNA
Source: RNAcentral